AUACGUAGGUGGCACGCGUUGUCCGGAUUUACUGGGUGUAAAGGGCGUGUAGGCGGAGAUGCAAGUCAGGAGUGAAAUCUAGGGGCUCAACCCCUAAACUGCUUUUGAAACUGUAUACCUUGAGUAUCGGAGAGGCAGGCCGGAUCCAUUACGGAGAGGUGGAAUGCGUAGAUAUUAGGAGGAACACCAGGGGCGAAGGCGGCCUGCUGGACGACAACUGACGCUGAGGCGCGAAAGCGUGGGGAGCAAACAGGAUUAGAUACCCUGGUAGUCCACGCUGUAAACGAUGAAUACUAGGUGUGGGGGGACUGACCCCCUCCGUGCCGCAGUUAACACAAUAAGUAUUCCACCUGGGGAGUACGAUCGCAAGAUUGAAACUCAAAGGAAUUGACGGGG
This 396-nucleotide ribosomal RNA is filed under the name uncultured bacterium. Its description in RNAcentral is "partial 16S ribosomal RNA". It matches the Rfam family "Bacterial small subunit ribosomal RNA", at positions 523 to 918 of the family's 1533-position model. The record is from RNAcentral.